RNAcentral lists this ribosomal RNA (114 nucleotides) under Lepisosteus oculatus (spotted gar). The record is from RNAcentral. Lineage: Eukaryota; Metazoa; Chordata; Actinopteri; Semionotiformes; Lepisosteidae.
ACCAGCAGCCAUAUCAGCAUGCAACUCCAGCCAGCCCACUGAAGAUCAGCAGGUGUGAGCCUGGCCAGUACCUGGAGGGGAGACCUCCUGGGAAAGCUGAGGCUGCUGCUGGGA